This 6422-nucleotide unclassified non-coding RNA is filed under the name Leishmania donovani. RNAcentral's name for it is "gene:LdHU3.32.3840(CDS-product:ubiquitin_hydrolas e_putative)". Lineage: Eukaryota; Euglenozoa; Kinetoplastea; Trypanosomatida; Trypanosomatidae. The record is from RNAcentral.
UGCCACACUCAUAGCAACGCCGACAAACGGGAGCCUCACAUUCACGAGAGGGCGUGGCUUCAUUAUUUUUACUCCUCUUUCAACUCAAUCCCUGGAGCCACCCUAACGUCCCUGCUCCGAACUACUUGGUUUUGUGCAUUCGCCCGGUCUGGUAGUAAUUGAACGCUGCUCGCACAAGCUCCACUGCAGCCCGAUUCACCCUCUCCGACUGCCCAUUUUGUUUUCCAUUUUCCUUUCUGCGUGACUCUCUUGUCACACUCCUCGUCCUCUGCAGUAACAUUAUUCAUCGUACGCACUAGCACGCACACGACGUAAACUUUGGGUUCGCGAACCAAAAGCCCCCCCCCCCCCCCCAAUACGUGCAAGUAAAGGAAAGCAUCAACAGGGGAGUUUCAGCGGACCAGGGGCGCUCCUCCUCAUCAAAAGGAAAGACAAACGGCAAAGCAUCCCUCACUCUACGACCCGUCCUCACACGAGUUCAUCAACAUACAAAUUGACUGCGGGCACCCCGAAGGAGCGCCCCCUUGCCCAAAACGUAGCACAGGGUGACUUGAAGCGUUUUCACAGGCUUAACCCGUUCUUUUGUUGUUUUCAGCUGUCCCGUCUGAUUCUCUUUGCGCUUCUCGCACGAGGUACACUUGUCUUCAACUCGGGCAACUACAUACCCAAUUGCACGCGCUCACUCGCAGGACGACGAUCGCGCCGCCAUGAGCUCUGAAGGAGCUCUGAGCUCUGGGGACGCUAUGGAGGAGAUGGAGCUGAAGGAGAGAAACCACAGCAUUGAAGGAUCUUCGUUUACCGCCACUACCCGUGACAGCUUCGCCUCUGCAGAAGAAGACUCGACAGCAUCACAGGUCAACGAAGAAGCGUGCAUGGCUACCGGCAAGCCGAGAACCAUAACUUGGAAUGGGACGGCUACGACAGCGCAUGACUACACCGCUGCUUCUACGGCUGAAACGGAUGACGAGGAGAAUGCUGCCGUGGUGGCGCAGCCGCAGCUUCCGCUCGACCGACUCCAGGCUUAUAUUCAGGCGCUUGUGGGAAACAUCUUGGAGAGCCUUCGCGGGUUCGACGGCAGCAUCACAUGGCUAAAGCGCUCACACUCGGCCAUCGCAGCCCACCUGGACGGCAUCAACGCCGGGGCUGUUCCGGCCGCAACGGAGGAGUUUAGCGUUGCCUGGUUCGGUAUCGCAAGCGCUGUGCUGCAUGACUUGAUCCAAGAAAGCGUAGCGGACAUUUUCGCUCUCGCGACGCCGCCGCUUCUGUCCAGCGAGAAUGAGGAAUCAGCGCGUGGGUUGUGCGUGACGCCGCACGAGCUGUCCGUUGCCUUUGUCUCGGGUUUGCAGAGCAUUGUUUCGGAGGUGAUGAAUGACGGCGGGUGCCAUGGCUCGGGUGGCAGCCACCACUUCAGCCGCUACUCCUUGCGCAGUUUUGCCCAUGUAAAGGAGAUCAGCGAGAUGAGCCGCCGUCUCAUGGAGGAACACUUGACGCAGGGAGCACACGUGCCGCACGCGCUGCGCAACAAGUACAGCGACGAUACGACCCCUAUCGACUGCAAGGAGGACCUCUGCUCCAUUCUCCAGAGCACUGCUGAUGCGUGGGUGUGCAGCUUCUUUCCAGCCUACCAGCAGCGCUCUCGCAACCCAACAGAGGUGGCGCCGUUUCUGUGGGGGGAGGAAGAGGACGCCUCGCGCCUUAACCUGGAGCUGUUCUUUUACUGCUUGUACUUUGCUUGUCAGCAGCGGAGCUUGAUGCAGAACAGGGAAGCUCUUCCGCGCGGCGUUGUGGUGCCGACGGCGUGGAUGGAGCAGCUGCUGAGGUGGUCCACGCAAGCGAAGGAGCAGCACUGCUUGGCCUCACCCGGGCCACACCCACCUUUUCCGGGCCCGAUCGACACGUUCGCGCUCAUGACGGUCUCGCCGCACGACCCGCGCCGGCACUGGCUUUCUCUAGACUCGGAGCGAUACCAGGUGAUUCCAGAGACUCUGUACAACUCCUUCUUUGACUUCUUUGGCACCGGCCCCAAGUACGUCAUGUAUGGAGCCUUUCCUCUGCGGGAGCGCUGUCUCCUCAUGUGGAAGCCGCUUCCGCUGACCGUGUUCACGACAUUUGAGUGGUGGGAGCGGAACGAAUCGGACGGAGCGCUUGACAAGUACAGCGUAGAGGUGCCCGUGGAGGAGGCACUCCUGCAUAGCGACAUGCGCGAGGUGUGCCACCUCGCCUGGGGCGUGAUGAGGGAGGAGGAGGGCAUGAUGUCGGACAAGGUGGCCAGAGUGUGGUUUGCGGCAAUCAACGGAACCGACACGGUGCGCAUCUGCUGCAAAGGCCUCUAUAUGCUUUCCGUGAAAACAGGUCCGUUCACGAUUGCAGAAAGGGGGGAUGGGAUGGACGUGACCGUGCAGGAGAUAUUGCAGCAGCUGCGGCGGCGCAUCGAGCAGUAUAUGCCGGAGAGCGUGGAGGAGUGGAGGCUGCAGACGAGCGGGAAGGUGCUCUUGUCCCUGGUGCUGACGCUGAACAACACAAACAGCGACGACGGCGGAGGCGAAAUUACACGCACGAUGGAGGUGGCAGCACACCAAUGCGGUGUGUGCGGCCUGACCAAUGUCGGCAACACAUGCUACAUGAACAGUGCCCUUCAGUGCUUGUCGAAUCUCACCUCCUUCCGCACGAAGCUUUUGACGCUUCCCAUUUCGCACUUUUCACAGGCGGUUAUAACUCCGCUGCUCAUUAGGCUGCUGACGACGAUGUGGUCUGGGCAGCACUCCUUCGCGGAGACCCGUGAGCUUAAGGAGCAGAUUGGUAUGCGAGUGAAGCGUUUUUCUGGCUACCAGCAGCAAGAUGCAAAUGAGUUCAUAGAAGUGCUCCUGGAUCACCUGAGUGAGGAGAUCAAUCUCCUCUCGGAGCGAUGCUACCGACAGCGCGAGGACAGCGACAAGGCGAUCGCGACGCAGGAGCUCUCCACCAUCUUCUGGAGCAACUUCUUGGAAAACAACAAGUCGUUCAUACCGCCCCUCUUCUUCCACCAGUCGAAGACCGUCUUCACAUGCCUCACGUGUGGGGAGUGCAGCACCGUCUUCGACAACAACGUCACGCUCUCCGUCAGCAUCAAAGACCCGCCGCAGCGGCGCGCCAUGAGCGUGGAUGUUAUGGUGGAGCUAAGCAAGUCUGACGACGCGGCCGAGCCCGUCUCACACAGCGGCUUCAUGGCACCGCUGUUUCGACCUGUGAAGGGGGGCACGGCCCGUGCGCACGCGCUGGUGACGCUGAAGGUUCACGUGCUGGUGCAGCCAGACAACACGGUGCGCGAGCAGGAGGUGGAGGAGGCGCUUCGACAGCUGCUGCUGAGCAAUGCCAGUGCUAGCAGAGAGGUGCUGCGCUUUUUUCUGGACGGCUCUGCAGAUGAGAUGACUGCGGAGGAGGAAAAGCAGAGGGCAAGGAGUGUGGCAGCGCGCGUGCAGGUGGACGUGCGCGUAAUGGACAUUCCUGAUCAUGGUCGCGUGUUUGCUUGGGCACGGUGCUACCUGGCGAGCGCAGAUCUGAGCGUGGCAUCUGCGCCGCCACCGACUACAGUGGGUGCAGCAGGGGCGCCUGCGGCACGUGUGUGGUACUUCAUGAAGGAUGCACCGCUUCCCUCCACGACUGCCAUAAUAGGCACCCCGGUUUGGAUCGACGAGUUUCCGGCGUCUUACGGUGCGGAGCACCCGCAGCCUGCGGCCGUGGAUGCCGCCGACGCGGAGGGUCUCGUUUUGGCCAGCGAACCCCGUGACUGCAUGACCGCCUACGCGGAGCACAUCCGCCCGCGCUCUUUGGAGGUGGCGACAGCACUUCUUCAACGCGUUCCAGAAGACGAGACGGACGAGGUAGCGCUCUUCACUCCCACAGAGGCUCUAAGCGGAGGGGCAGGGUACGUCACGCCUCCAUCCCACAAGCACGAAGCCAAAGGAAAGCUGGCGUCCGCCAACGACGCCGGCGCAGCGGCUGCAUCCAUUGAGCGAGACAUCAAGAUAGUUCAGCGCAUUCUCCGCAAAUCCACAACCGCCAGCGUCACAAAAACCACAUCCACGGGCGACGACAUUAACACAGAUGCGACAGGGAGCGAGGCCUGUGAAAAGGCGCCAGCUUCCACGGCGCUGACGACCACCAUUGUCGUGUGCAUCCAGUACGACUCUGCCAAGUAUCAGCUCGUUACCGACGGACGGAGUUCGGAUGCCUUUGGACUCCGCGGCGUAGGUAGCGACAUCACCCCGGAGGUGAAAUGCUCGCUGCACGAGUGCUUGUCGCACUCUAUGCAGCCGGACCUGCUGCGGGGCGAGGAUGCCUGGUUCUGCAGUCGGUGCAAGGAGUUUCGGGAGACGAAAGUGCACCGCACCCUCUUCCGUCUGCCCCCGUGCCUCAUUGUGUCCUUUAAGCGCUUUAAGAUGCACACGUACAGCGCCGACAAGAAGAACACCACAGUGCAGUUCCCCAGCGAGCUCGACUUUGCGCCGUACCUGGACCCCGAAUCCGCUGGACUUCAGACGGAGGGCACGAAGUACCGCCUGCGCGGUGUGGUGUACCACACCGGGUCGCUCAGCUUUGGGCAUUACACUGCGGCCGCCUUCAACGAUUCCGUGAAGAAAUGGGUAUACUACAACGACACACACGCGACGAUCGACAGCUGCGACGCCCCAGCGCCGAAUGGGGCGUACAUUUUGUGUUUUGAGCGCGUUGAAGCUACGGCAAGUCCAGCGUAAUGCUGCCCGCCCUCUGCCAGUCUUUACUGGAGGAGGGGGGUGUAGGCAUAGUGGUAAGGAAAGGACGGGGGAGAGGGGGAGGGCACUGCUUCACGCAGCAGCAGGCGAGGGACUCGUACGAAGAGUGAGGAUGGAAAAAGGGAGGAAACAAACCGUCAGUGUUUUCUUUUGCGUGUGUGUCUGUUGCGCGCACACACACAGAUGUGCGUCUAUAAAGUCUCGAUAGCUCACCUCUGUGAGGAGGGUCUGUGAAAUGCGCCAGACAUCUGUGAGGUGGCCAUCUUUUAUUACUUCUCACCCUUUCGCUCAGCCCCUUCCCACCCUGUCUCCCUCGCGCUGCCAUCUCUUCCCUCAUGGAGAGCACGUUGUGCAGAGGAGGAGGAUACCGUGAGACAGGUGGUGGUUGUGGGGGAGGGCCCUGCUUUUACCACUGCAUGUGCGUGUCUGUAGUUGUGUGAGCGUGAGUGAGACUGUGGCGCAAAGGGGUGAAAUAACUCACCUGCCUGCUUUCUCUCUUAUCGUUCUUGUGGCGUGUCGCCUGUGGCAAAUGCCGCUUUUUUUGUGAUGUUGCCCUUUCUUGUGUGAUGUUGUACGUGAUGUGAGGCGUGCGCUUCUACUUUGGGGCUUCUUUCUUUGUUGCAUGAAAAAAAAAACGCUUGUGAUGGGAGAAGGCCGAGGGGAAGAGGGUAGAAGGCCGGAAGGGGCGAUGGGACCUUGUGGAGAGCGGGUGCGACUGAGAUGCAGCAACCGCGGAUGUUUGCGGUUGGUCCUUGCUCGUUUUCUCUUCCUUUCUUGAUGCUACUCUUUCUAUUCGCCCUCUCACUGAUUCAUUCUUCGGAUAAGUCGUUGUCGCGUGUCAAAGACGGAAGGGAUGGGGUGGGGGUGGGGGCACAGCACCUUUUUAUCUGCCGGAGGGCGCCGUGCCGAGGCGGUUGAUGGCUGAUCGCUGACCUCGGUGCGUGAAUGCGGGAUGAUGAGCUGCGCUAAGGUCCUCUCUUUCGUUUUCUUGGUUCUCUUUCGCGCACCUCAUGUGAUGCUGCCGCUGCUGCAGUCUCCCUGUCGAUGCCGAUCGCUUCUCUUACAUUUUCUCCCUUGUAUUGUUUUCCGGGCUGGCACGUGUGCAUUUUGUGUUUGUCUCGCUCCCAAGCUCGGCUGUUUCUACCCUCGUCUUUGCUUUUUCGUGUACGCGUGUGUCUUCUCCCCGGACUCCCUUCUUUCCUCUCCCCUCGCCCGCUGCUCACUUUUGUUCUUUUUUCUUGCACCUUCCUGUGGGUCUCUCUCGCUUCCUAUUUCGAAAAGACUGCCUUUAUCGAUACUUAAAAAGAGCACUUGGAAAAAUAAGAGGGCACUUCCUCACAGCAUACGCGCAUGCAAGCUCCUCCUCCUCGCCACCAAGCGAAGGCGAAUGCAUAUCCCCCCUUCACUCUCUCACUCCCCCGAAAAAAAAGGCGCCCUCAUUCUUUCAUUCACCGUUUCACCUGUAUUCCUUUCAAGAUGGAGAUGGGGUAUGGAAGCGAGAAGCACGGCCACACGCAGAGGUGCUGACGUGCCCAUGCAAGGCGGUGCGAGACGCAUUCAAUGAUCCGGUGAAGGGAAUACAAAAAAAAAUACGAAUGAAGGUGAGCGUCGUUAUGUGUAUCGGCAUGUUGUAUGUACGCUGUUUCUUACUCCCUCUUUGCGCAGAGAAAC